This 440-nucleotide ribosomal RNA is filed under the name uncultured bacterium. RNAcentral describes it as "partial 16S ribosomal RNA". It matches the Rfam family "Bacterial small subunit ribosomal RNA", at positions 338 to 795 of the family's 1533-position model. The record is from RNAcentral.
CCUACGGGAGGCAGCAGUGGGGGAUAUUGCACAAUGGGGGGAACCCUGAUGCAGCGACGCCGCGUGGGGGAAGAAGGGCCUCGGCGCGUAAAGCCCUUUCAGCAGGGAAGAAAAUGACGGUACCUGAAGAAGAAGCCCCGGCUAACUACGUGCCAGCAGCCGCGGUAAUACGUAGGGGGCAAGCGGUAUCCGGAUUUACUGGGAGGAAAGGGGGCGCAGACGGGGAUGCAAGCCAGGAGUGAAAGCCCGGGGCCCAACCCCGGGACUGCACUUGGAACUGGGUGGCUGGAGUGCAGGAGGGGCAGGCGGAAUUCCUGGUGUAGCGGUGAAAUGCGUAGAUAGCAGGAGGAACACCGGUGGCGAAGGCGGCCUGCUGGACUGCAACUGACGUUGAGGCACGAAAGCGUGGGGAGCAAACAGGAUUAGAUACCCGUGUAGUC